This 253-nucleotide ribosomal RNA is filed under the name uncultured bacterium. RNAcentral describes it as "partial 16S ribosomal RNA". It matches the Rfam family "Bacterial small subunit ribosomal RNA", at positions 524 to 776 of the family's 1533-position model. The record is from RNAcentral.
UACGUAGGGUGCAAGCGUUGUCCGGAAUUAUUGGGCGUAAAGAGCUCGUAGGCGGUCAGUCGCGUCUGCUGUGAAAACUCGGGGCUUAACCCCGGGCCUGCAGUGGGUACGGGCUGACUAGAGUGCGGUAGGGGAGACUGGAAUUCCUGGUGUAGCGGUGAAAUGCGCAGAUAUCAGGAGGAACACCGAUGGCGAAGGCAGGUCUCUGGGCAUUAACUGACGCUGAGGAGCGAAAGCGUGGGGAGCGAACAGG